Molecule: ribosomal RNA, 907 nt
Filed under: uncultured bacterium
Lineage: Bacteria
Description: bacterial SSU rRNA
Rfam family: Bacterial small subunit ribosomal RNA
Source: RNAcentral
AAGCUCGGCUAACUCCGUACCAGCAGCCGCGGUAAGACGGGGAGGCAAGCGUUGUCCGGAAUCACUGGGUGUAAAGGGCGUGUAGGCGGGCCUUUAAGUCGAUUGUGAAAUUUCUCGGCUCAACCGGGAAACUGCAGUCGAUACUAUUGGCCUUGAGUGCGGAAGGGGAGAAUGGAAUUCCUGGUGUAGCGGUGAAAUGCGUAGAUAUCAGGAGGAACACCGGUGGCGAAGGCGAUUCUCUGGUCCUGCACUGACGCUAAGGCGCGAAAGCAAGGGGAGCAAACAGAAUUAGAUACUCUGGUAGUCCUUGCCCUAAACGAUGGGUACUAGGUGUUCGUCCUUUUAAAGGAGGAGUGCCGAAGCUAACGCAUUAAGUACCCCACCUGGGGAGUACGAUCGCAAGGUUGAAACUCAAAGGAAUUGACGGGGACCCGCACAAGCGGUGGAGGAUGUGGUUUAAUUCGACGCAACGCGAAGAACCUUACCUAGGCUUGACAUGCUGGUGAAAACCAUGGAAACAUGGUCCUCCCGCAAGGGACGCCAGUACAGGUGGUGCAUGGCUGUCGUCAGCUCGUGUCGUGAGAUGUUGGGUUAAGUCCCGCAACGAGCGCAACCCUUAUUCUUAGUUGUUUUCCCUUUGGGAUUACCCUCUAAGAAGACUGCCUCGGAUAACGGGGAGGAAGGCGGGGAUGACGUCAAGUCCGCAUGCUCCUUACGUCUAGGGCUACACACGUCCUACAAUGGGGUCGACAAUGGGAUGCAAUAUCGCAAGAUGGAGCCAAUCCCCAAACGGCCUCUCAGUUCGGAUUGUAGUCUGCAACUCGACUACAUGAAGUCGGAAUCGCUAGUAAUGGCGGAUCAGCAUGCCGCCGUGAAUACGUUCCCGGGUCUUGUACACACCGCCCGU